RNAcentral lists this ribosomal RNA (1305 nucleotides) under Parcubacteria group bacterium CG08_land_8_20_14_0_20_38_56. RNAcentral's name for it is "bacterial SSU rRNA". It matches the Rfam family "Bacterial small subunit ribosomal RNA", at positions 7 to 916 of the family's 1533-position model. The record is from RNAcentral.
GAGAGUUUGAUCCUGGCUCAGGAUGAACGCUGGCGGCGUGGAUAAGGCAUGCAAGUCGUACGGCUUUGCCUUCGGCAAAGUGCGCAGAACUGACGCAGAACUAUACGCAGAACUGACGCAGAAAAUUUUUCUGCGUGGUUCCGCGCUAGCGAUUGUGAAGCAAUCGCUCUCUUCCGCGUCUGUUCCGCGUGCCUCGCUGGAGGCGAGACAGUGGCGAACGGGUUAGUAACACGUAGAUACAAACCCGCUACACAGGUAUAACUCGGAGAAAUCCGAGCUAAUUCCUGAUGGUCUGACGGCUGAACCUUGCUUACAAGGUUUAAAUAACUAAUAACCAAUUUCUAAUUUCUAAUAAAAAUCUAAAUGUCCAAUGACUAAUGCCUAAAUCUUUUAGACAUUAGACAUUUAAGAAUUGGACAUUUUAUUAGACAUUAGGAAUUAGAAAUUAGGAAUUUAUUUUUGACGUUGAAAGAUUAAAUUUUGUAAGUAUGGUUCAGCUGUCAGUAAAGGUAUAGACAACUUUACCGGUAGCGGAUUGGUCUGCGGCCUAUCAGCUUGUUGGUGGGGUAAUGGCCCACCAAGGCAAUGACGGGUAGGGGGAGUGAGAGCUUGACCCCCAACAGAGGUACUGCGACACGGACCUCACUCCUACGGGAGGCAGCAGUCGAGAAUAUUCGGCAAUGGGCGAAAGCCUGACCGAGCGACGCCGCGUGCGGGAAGAAGGCCUUCGGGUUGUAAACCGCUUUUUAUUCUGAUAAAGCCGAGCACUCAAUACGCAUAAUCAAAUUAUUCAUUGUUAUUAUUGAUUAAAUUUAUAUUUUCUGUCUUUAAAAGAUUGUGUUUAUUGAGUGCUCGGUUGAUAGUAGGAAUAGAAUAAGGGGCCUCUAAUCACGUGCCAGCAGAGGCGGUAAUACGUGAGCCCCAAGCGUUAUCCGGAAUUAUUGGGCGUAAAGCGUCUGUAGGCGGUUUGUUAAGUUUCUCGUCAAAUUUCACGGCUCAACCGUGGAGCUGCGGGAAAAACUGACAAACUAGAGAACAUAAGAGGCUGAUGGAACUCACGGUGUAGGAGUGAAAUCCAUUGAUAUCGUGGGGAACACCAAAGGCGAAGGCAUUCAGCUGGGAUGGUUCUGACGCUGAGAGACGAAAGCGUGGGGAGCAAAAAGGAUUAGAUACCCUUGUAGUCCACGCCCUAAACGAUGGACACUAGCUGUCUGGAGUAUCGACCCUCUGGGUGGCGAAGCUAACGCGUUAAGUGUCCCGCCUGGGAAGUACGGCCGCAAGGCUAAAACUCAAAGGAAUAGACGG